Molecule: small RNA, 793 nt
Filed under: Pongo abelii (Sumatran orangutan)
Lineage: Eukaryota; Metazoa; Chordata; Mammalia; Primates; Hominidae
Description: retained intron
Source: RNAcentral
AUUCCUUGCAAUUCAAGUGGGCUAGAAUCUUGAUCCAGUUUUCUCCAGACUAGAUUUCAAGCUACUCUGCAUGGUGUAGAACCUGUAACCAUGUAACCUCAUCAGCUUCCUUUUUUCCUUUUGACUUUUCCUGUUACACACAGUUCAGUCUGACUAUUCAUGAAUCUUCUUUGGGAGAAAGAAAAAUGGCCCAAUGUAUAAUGUUUCUGAAUGGGGAAGGGAGAAAAAAAAAAGUCACUGUUGUUUGUAGCUCUAACCAUGAAAGUAAAAGCAACAAAAAUAUCCCCCAAUGAAUCCCUAGAAUCAUUUAAUAAUAUAACCGGUUUCUCUUUAUCCUGCAGGUGUACACUUAAAGCAUUCUGGGAAUAUGAAUCCCUUCUGCACCCGGGAUUCACCAGUCCAGCCAUGCAUGGAGCUGGGGAAAGCAGGCCCUGAACUGUCUAGAGAGACUUGGUGGAGGAGGCCACGGCCCGUCUUGUCCCUGCCGGGUCCUGGCCAGGAACAACUGGAUGUUGUAAAUGUUUCUCAUCUGGCCUUAAAAUCCAUGAAAGCUGGAAAAUGCCAAGGCAUCUGUGCACAUACUGGUGGAUUUUAAUGAGAGUCCUGUGUUUGGAGCACCAGAAAUAAACCAGCUUCAGAAGCAAAGUUAACAGGAGGAGGAAGCAGAGCUAGAGCUGGAAGGAGACCCAGCCAGCCCGGGCUCCAGUGACAUCAGCCGGUACACGCUCUUGUUUGCUUACGCUUGUUGAACUGAGUUUUUCAUAUGUAACUAACCAAUACUGGCACAUGUAAG